AUGUACGAGGUUCCGGUGGCUUAUCGUGAAAACCUACAUUGGCUCUCUAUGCACCCUCAAGCCAAUCACACCAAAAAGAUGCUAGCAUUCGACACGGCUUCCGAGACAUUCCGACUCAUGUCCCAACCCUCGCCAGACAAUACCGUGAGGACAUCCUUAUUUGAGCUUGAUGGGGAGCUCUGUGUCGCUGCUAUGUCACAGAGCUUAACAUCCCUGGACAUAUGGGGCCUACAAGACUACAAGGCGGAGACCUGGACAUUGCUCCAUCGGGUUCAUGUGCCGAUGCCCGUACUAUACAAACGUGAUGAAGUAUCGGUGAGCAAGGUAAUCUCUAUUGGGAACGGUGCCAUCCUCAUCGGAUGUCCUAAAUGUAACGUGGCCAGGAUGUACCACCUCAAAGACAAAAGGAUGAUUUGCGAAGAUUUCACAUUCGGUAGUGUAGUAGAUCCCAGAUUCCUUGUAUUUAAUGAGAGCCUCGUGCCACAUGCUUUUUUUGACUCCCCUCGCUGCCCGGAUCUCGAGACUAUAUACUUCUCCUAA
RNAcentral lists this ribosomal RNA (540 nucleotides) under Triticum aestivum (bread wheat). Its description in RNAcentral is "partial small subunit ribosomal RNA". The record is from RNAcentral. Lineage: Eukaryota; Viridiplantae; Streptophyta; Magnoliopsida; Poales; Poaceae.